RNAcentral lists this ribosomal RNA (323 nucleotides) under uncultured Sandona. RNAcentral describes it as "SSU rRNA". It matches the Rfam family "Eukaryotic small subunit ribosomal RNA", at positions 632 to 955 of the family's 1831-position model. Lineage: Eukaryota; Cercozoa; Glissomonadida. The record is from RNAcentral.
GAUUUCUGACUUGAAACAUUUUGCCGGCCACGGUUUCGUGUGUUAGUGCUUGAUGUUCUGGUCAUCCUUCCAAUCGCUAUCGGCUCGUCUUCAUUGCCGGGUCGCGUAGUAUUGGAUCUUUUACUUUGAAAAAAUUAGAGUGUUUCAAGCAGGCUUUAUGCUAUGAAUACAUUAGCAUGGAAUAAUAAUUUAGGACUUCGGUUCUAUUUUGUUGGUUUCUAGGACUGAAGUAAUGAUUGAUAGGGACAGUUGGGGGUGCUAGUAUUCAGCGGCCAGAGGUGAAAUUCUCGGAUUCGCUGAAGACUAACUUAUGCGAAAGCAUU